AUGAAGAAAUUUGGCUCACACGUCCUCUUUCCUUUACAUCUUCCCUGGGAAGCCGGCCUGAGAGAUCCACUCCUGAACAUGGUCAUUCUCUCAAGCCUCUUGACUUUUGGACUUGGGAAGGUGGAACAACCUGAAAUAUCAGUUACAAGAACAACGGAUGAGACUGCCCAAAUAUCCUGUAAGGUCUCCAUCAACAGCUUUAAAAGUGUAGCCAUACACUGGUACCGGCAAAAACCAAAUCAAGGUUUACAGUUUCUAUUACAUGUCAUGGCAACUCCCACCCAUAUUCUCUUAGAUGAGACCAAGAAAAUGGAAGCAAGUAAAAAUCCUAGUGCUUCCACAUCGACAUUGACAAUAUAUUCCUUGAAGGAAGAAGACGAAGCUAUCUAUUACUGUUCCUACGGCUAUAGCUCGGGCUGGAGCAAGGUAUUUGCAGAAGGAACGAAGCUCAUAGUAAUCCCUCCUGACAAAAGGUUUGAUACAGACAUUUCCCCCAAGCCUACCAUUUUCCUUCCUUCCGUUGCUGAAACGAAUCUCCAUAAGGCUGGGACAUACCUUUGUCUCCUUGAGAAAUUCUUCCCUGAUGUUAUAAGGGUAUACUGGAAAGAAAAGGAUGGCGAUAAGAUCCUGGAAUCCCAGGAAGGGAAUACACUGAAAACCAAUGACACAUACAUGAAGUUUAGCUGGCUUACCGUGACUGCAGAGUCAAUGCAUAAAGAGCACAGAUGCAUUGUCAAACAUGAGAACAAUAAGAAAGGAGUUGAUCAAGAGAUUUCCUUUCCUCCAAUAGAGAAAGUUGCCGUGAGUGCUGAGCCUACACCUUGCUGGCAUGAAAAUGCUGUGCUGCAGCUUCAGCUCACGAGCACCUCUGCCUACUACACCUACCUUCUCCUCCUCCUCAAGAGUGCGAUCCACCUGGCCAUGGUCAGCUUCUCUCUGGCUAGAAGAACAGCUACCUGUGGCAAUGAGAAGAGAUCCUAAGGAAGUGAACGGUGGCACAACCAGUCAGCUCCUGUUCAUUCUCCCUGUGAAAUUGUGCCUUACGGGGCCCAGCUGGAUUUUCUUGCUAACUUUGACCUCUGUAAAAUCACAUGCAUUUCAUUCUGUAAUCACUCAAAAGUUUUCAGACUUUCAUAAGCAAUUCAAGCAACUUCUCUCUCUAACCAAGGAUAGCUCCCUUCUGAUUCUAUCCUCUUCAGUAGUUCAGUGGUUCCCCGAGAGCCUGAAGCAUCACAGCUCCAGUACACAUAGCUUGCAGCUUCUACCCGCAGUACUUGUUGCCCUUGAGCCAGCUAACUCCCUGAAAGCCUCCAUGCUAGACACCCUAAAGAGCCUUCUUUACUGCUUGAAUUCUUGUACUUCA
Molecule: non-coding RNA, 1363 nt
Organism: Microtus oregoni (creeping vole)
Lineage: Eukaryota; Metazoa; Chordata; Mammalia; Rodentia; Cricetidae
Source: the annotation of a RefSeq genome assembly